GUAGGGAAUCUUCCGCAAUGGGCGAAAGCCUGACGGAGCAACGCCGCGUGAGUGAUGAAGGUCUUCGGAUCGUAAAACUCUGUUAUUAGGGAAGAACAAAUGUGUAAGUAACUAUGCACGUCUUGACGGUACCUAAUCAGAAAGCCACGGCUAACUACGUGCCAGCAGCCGCGGUAAUACGUAGGUGGCAAGCGUUAUCCGGAAUUAUUGGGCGUAAAGCGCGCGUAGGCGGUUUUUUAAGUCUGAUGUGAAAGCCCACGGCUCAACCGUGGAGGGUCAUUGGAAACUGGAAAACUUGAGUGCAGAAGAGGAAAGUGGAAUUCCAUGUGUAGCGGUGAAAUGCGCAGAGAUAUGGAGGAACACCAGUGGCGGAGGCGACUUUCUGGUCUGUAACUGACGCUGAUGUGCGAAAGCGUGGGGAUCAAACAGGAUUAGAUACCCUGGUAGUCCACGCCGUAAACGAUGAGUGCUAAGUGUUAGGGGGUUUCCGCCCCUUAGUGCUGCAGCUAACGCAUUAAGCACUCCGCCUGGGGAGUACGACCGCAAGGUUG
This 551-nucleotide ribosomal RNA is filed under the name uncultured bacterium. RNAcentral describes it as "bacterial SSU rRNA". It matches the Rfam family "Bacterial small subunit ribosomal RNA", at positions 354 to 896 of the family's 1533-position model. The record is from RNAcentral.